This is a non-coding RNA of Cubamyces sp. BRFM 1775, 97 nucleotides long. NCBI's taxonomy places the organism in Eukaryota, Fungi, Basidiomycota, Agaricomycetes, Polyporales, Polyporaceae. The record is from the annotation of a GenBank genome assembly.
GGGCAUGUGGUGUAGUUGGUUAUCACGCUCGCUUAGCAUGGGUCUUUGCGCAAGACAUGUGUGCGAGAGGGGUCCGGUUCAAUCCCGGACAUGUCCA